AAACAUGUCUUUUUGAAAAUAAUUUAAAGUCUAAUCUGCCCACUGAUNAAAUUAUUAAAGGGCUGCAGUAUUUUGACUGUACAAAGGUAGCAUAAUCAUUAGUCUCUUAAUUGGUGACUUGUAUGAAAGAUUGGAUGAGAUAUAUACUGUCUCUAUUUAAUUUAUAAAAUUUAAUUUUUUAGUAAAAAAGCUAAAAUUAUUUUAAAAGACGAGAAGACCCUAUAGAGUUUUAUAAUUUAUUUAAUUAUUAUUAAUAUGUAAAUUUUAAAAUUAAAAUUAAAUAAAUUAUUUUGUUGGGGUGAUAGAAAAAUUAAAUUAACUUUUUUUUUAUUGUAUACAUUAAUUUAUGGAUAAAUGAUCCAUUAAUAGUGAUUAAAAGAAAAAAUUACCUUAGGGAUAACAGCGUAAUUUUUUUUUUUAGUUCAAAUAGGAAAAAAAGUUUGCGACCUCGAUGUUGGAUUAAGAUAAAAUUUAAAUGCAAAAGUUAAAA
This 490-nucleotide ribosomal RNA is filed under the name Papilio peranthus transiens. Its description in RNAcentral is "partial 16S ribosomal RNA". The record is from RNAcentral. Lineage: Eukaryota; Metazoa; Arthropoda; Insecta; Lepidoptera; Papilionidae.